GGACUACUACAGUAAACCAUCAGACUGGCUAGGGACUACUACAGUAAACCAUCAGACUGGCUAGGGACUACUACAGUAAACCAUCAGACUGGCUAGGGACUACUACAGUAAACCAUCAGACUGGCUAGGGACUACUACAGUAAACCAUGCUCGAGCAGCAGAGCAAACUUGUUCUUAUUUAGCAGCUUUGUGAUACUUUUGAUUGCCAUUAUUGUAGCUAGUUUUCCAGCUUUCUGAUGAAAUUAUACCGCAAUAAAGUUAUGGGUCUGUUCUCAGAAGUCAGCAGGUAUCAGACUAUGACAGCUGGCACUGGUGACUCUCUACCUUCUAACAUUUGGCCAAUAACGUUGCAGCUAGAGCCGUCAGCUGCUGGAGCACUCGGUACACUAAUCAUGGCAGUCCCAUAGGGCGACGGACAAUUGGCUAAGCAUCGUUAGUGUUUGGCCGGGGUAGGCCGUCAUUGUAAAUAAGAAUUUGUUCUUAACUGACUUGCCUAGUUAAAUAAAGGUUACAUUUAAACAAUUUAAUAAAUUCAAAUUCAUAUGGAUUGAUUGGAGACUGGCUCAGCUAGCAGUCAAGCUAGCUAGCUAAUUUUCGUGCACAUUUCAAAUAUAAUGAUACGGAUUCUAAAACGACAGUAGUCCUUAGCUACACAGUACCAGUCAAAAGUUUGGACACACCUACUCAUUCCAGGGUUUUUCUUUAUUUUUACUAUUUUCUACAUUGUAGAAUAAUAGUAAAGACAUCAAAACUAUGAAACAACACAUGGAAUCAUGUAGUAACCAAAAAAGUUUUAAAUUGAUAUUCUUCAAAGUAGCCACCCUUUGCCUUGAUGACAGCUUUGCACAUUCUUGGCAUUCUCUCAACCAGCUUCAUGAGGUAGUCACCUGGAAUGCAUUUCAAUUAACAGGUGUGCCUUGUUAAUUUGUGAAAUUUCUUUCCUUCUUAAUGUGUUCGAGCCAAUCAGUUGUGUUGUGACAAGGUAGGGGUAGAAGAUAGCCCUAUUUGGUAAAAGACCAAGUCCAUAUUAUGGCAAGAACAGCUCAAAUAAGCAAAGAGAAAUGACAGUCGAUCAUUACUUCAUGAUAUGAAGGUCAGUCAAUUAAAGUUUCUUCAAGUGCAGUUACAAAAACCAUCAAGCACUAUGAUGAAACUGGCUCUCAUGAGGACCGCCACAGGAAAGGAAGACCCAGAGUUACCUCUGCUGCAGAGGAUAAGUUAGAGUUACCAGCCUCAGAAAUUGCACCCCAAAUAAAUGUUUCACAUCGUUCAAGUAACAGACACAUCUCAACAUCAACUGUUCAGAGGAGACUGCGUGAAUCGGCCCUUCAUGGUCGAAUUGCUGCAAAGACACCACUACUAAAGGACACCAAUAAGAAGAAGACUUGCUUGGGCAAAGAAACACGAGCAGUGGACAUUAGACCGAUGGAAAUCUGUCCUUUGGUCUGAUGAGUGCAAAUUUGAGAUUUUUGGUUCCAACAUUAGUGUCUGUGAGACUCAGAGUAGGUGAACAGAUGAUCUCCGCAUGUGUUGUUGCCAACGUGAAGCAUGGAGGAGGAGGUGUGAUGGUGUGGGGGUGCUUUGCUGGUGACACUGUGAUUUAUUUAGAAUUCAAGGCAAACUUAACCAGCAAGGCUUCCACAGCAUUCUGCAGUGAUACGCCAUCCCAUCUGGUUUGCGCUUAGUGGGACUAUCAUUUGUUUUUCAACAGGACAGUGACCCAACACACCUCCAGGCUGUGUAAGGGCUAUUUCACCAAGAAGGAGAGUGAUGGACUGCUGCAUCAGAUGACCUGGCCUCCACAAUCACCAGACCUCAACCCAAUUGAGAUGGUUUUGGAUGAGGUGGACCGCAGAGUGAAGGAAAAGCAGCCAGCAAUUGCUCAGCAUAUGUGGGAACUCCUUCAAGACUGUUGGAAAAGCAUUCCUCAUGAAGCUGGUUGAGAGAAUGCCAAGAUUGUGCAAAGCUGUCAUCAAGGCAAAGGGUGGCUACUUUGAAGAAUCUCAAAUAUAAAUAUAUUUUGAUUUUGUUAAACACUUUUUUGGUUACUACAUGAUUCCAUAUGUGUUAUUUCAUAGUUUUGAUGUUUUCACUAUUAUUCUACAAUGUAGAAAAUAGUGAAAAAUAAAGUAAAACCCUUGAAUGAGUAGGUUUGUCCAAACGUUUGACUGGUACUGUAUAGAAUUAGGUAGUUAUGACUUGCUCAUGUCAAAAUUAGCUACGGAUUUAUGUUUUUUUUUUUUUUGGUAGUAUUAUCUCGCAGUCUUUUGAGGAUGAAUCGGGGUUCAGUAAAUGAUGUCACCUUGGUAACAUUUCCUAAUCUCAUGACAGUGUAUUGUAGCCCAACUACUUUUUGUUGAUCAAUCCCACUAGGGUUUGCGUGUUAUCAGACAGAUCAGUGCAGACAGCCGUGAUCUGACGUUAGACGACGGAUAAUAGACGAGAUGAAUGUUAGAAACAGAACACCACCUGUCUUGCUCUAAAUAUUUUACCACAGCUGGCAGUCACACUGAAUAAGCCUUCAAAUAAUAGGGUGUGCUAUUAUUAUUAUUAUUAUUAUGCAUUAUUUAAUAAGGAUUAUUUUUGGUGUUUACACAUUAAUAAUCCCUAAUCUAACAAUUACUGUAUUCACAGUUAAUUAACACUCUUAACUGUAUUCCAAAUGGCACUCUAUUCCUUAUGUAGUGGACUACUUUUGACCAGGGCCCAUAGUACUCUCUCUCUCUCUCUCUCUCUCUCUCUCUCUCUCUCUCUCUCUCUCUCACUGAAGGAGGAUUGUUAUUUAUUAAACACUAAUUCUGGGACCUGGAGACCCAAUGAUAAUGAUAGAAAUCCCGUGUAUUGUUAUGGGGAUUAUAAUGAUAGGCCUCAUCCAUCUCUUUCACUGUGGCGAUAUGGGGGAUACUUUCACUCCUCUGUUGUGUUUAAAGCAGCAUCAUACCCUACACCUCUGAAAUACGCCUCAUUUCUAUGGAUUAUUAUUCACAGUACAGUAUGUAGAAUGUAGCUUGUACAUAGCCUUUUACAGGAAUACUUUUUGUAUUCUUUUUUUUUCUCUCCCUUAAUACUUCAUUAUUAUACAUUUUUACUAGUUUUUUUGCUAAUUAUUUUAGACAAAUAUAUAUAUGAAUAUAUAGAUAUUAGUCGUUCCUUUUUUUUAUUUGAUUGGACACAUGCUAGUUGAAUGUUUGUUAAAAUUGUUUAUUUGUUAUGAGGUGUUGCCUGGGAAACAACUGAAGAACAACAACAUGUCAUAAGUCCUUACAUGACAUUACUCCACACAUCUUAACUGUGAUUUUGUUCAAAAAACAAGAGAGAAAGCUUUGAUUAAAAAAAUAUUAAAAUAAGAUAACAAAAACUAAUCUAUCAUUUCAAAGGCCAGCCUCUUGUUUAUGUUCUAGUACCGGUUCCAGCCGGUUCCAGCCGGUUCCAGACGGUUCCAGCCGGUUCCAGCCGGUUCCAGCCGGUUCCAGACGGUUCCAGCCGGUUCCAGCCGGUUCCAGCCGGUUCCAGCCGGUUCCAGAUUAUUUGAUUAGCACCUUGUGACGUGUGUUCUCAAUGUUUGUGAUGUAAUUUAUUAAUGUUUUUAUACUUGUACAAUUCUUAAGAGUUUUGUUUUGGGGAUAUUUUAUCAGCCUGUGAAUGAAAUCCCCCCCCCUCCGCCUACUUAGCGAGUUAGUUCCACCAUGUUGUUUAUGACGUCAGUAAGUUUUCAGGCACUGUCUGGUCACUACAUUUUGUAUUGUUAAACUAAUGUUUUUGUUUGUGUUUUUUCAUAUUAUUGUUUUCAUAUGGUUUCUAACAUCUCACUCUGUCCGCAUCAGUCAAGAUGUUACAUGUAUUAUUGUUAUUAUUAUUGUUAUUAUUAAGAAGCUACGUCCAAUAACCAUCAUGCCAUCGAUUUUAUUUUUCUAGAAAACGUCAGAAUGAUUAUGUUAAUUUUUACGUAAGGUUUGUUCAUGUGCUGUUUGAUAACAGUAUUUUAGUCAGAUGUAAAUGAUGUAUCCACAAUACGACACUCAGAUCAAACUGUCUUUCAGCGGAAAUCUUUCAGGUUUUAUUUCUACAUGAAUACGGUCUUGUGUGUUUUCUAUGUCCAACCUAUUAAAUGUAUACACUGUUGUCAAAUGAAUACAACUUUUAUCCUUGUUGACUUUUGCAAUACAAUAUUGUCUAAACCAG
Molecule: long non-coding RNA, 4182 nt
Filed under: Salmo salar (Atlantic salmon)
Lineage: Eukaryota; Metazoa; Chordata; Actinopteri; Salmoniformes; Salmonidae
Description: lncRNA (ENSSSAG00000096975.1)
Source: RNAcentral